Molecule: RNase P RNA, 235 nt
Filed under: Anaerolineaceae bacterium
Lineage: Bacteria; Bacillati; Chloroflexota; Anaerolineae; Anaerolineales; Anaerolineaceae
Description: partial RNase P RNA component class A
Rfam family: Bacterial RNase P class A
About the family: Ribonuclease P (RNase P) is a ubiquitous endoribonuclease, found in archaea, bacteria and eukarya as well as chloroplasts and mitochondria. Its best characterised activity is the generation of mature 5'-ends of tRNAs by cleaving the 5'-leader elements of precursor-tRNAs.
Source: RNAcentral
GGGUGAAAUGGUGGUGUAAGAGACCACCGGCGUAUGCAGUAAUGCUGCGGCCAGGUAACCCCCAUCAGGAGCAAGGUCAAGCAGGAGCAAAGCCCUUCGGGGCGGGAGGCGGCUCGUCUUCUUUGAGCUUCGGGUAGGCUGCUGGAGCUGAACAGUAAUGUUCAGCCUAGAUAGAUGGUCACCCACAAUCACCAGUUGAUUGGGACAGGAUGCGGCUUAUAGAUCGGCCCGGGUU